Molecule: long non-coding RNA, 1725 nt
Filed under: Daucus carota (carrot)
Lineage: Eukaryota; Viridiplantae; Streptophyta; Magnoliopsida; Apiales; Apiaceae
Description: long non-coding RNA (DCAR_LNC004133)
Source: RNAcentral
ACGGCGAUGGCUGGGUCUGCGUAUAUAUAUGUGUGUAUGUACAUGUCUGUGGAUGGAGACGCUGUUAGCAGUGGUGGUUCGAGACCAUGGAAAGCCGAAUGAACCGACCUAGACGUGCGUAUCGAGGACGUUAAUAAGUAGUCGAAUUGCAAAUCAAGUCGAAUCUGGAAUGAUCUGAUAAGACGAAGCUAUGUCGUGGAUGGAAUCUUGUUCAAAGCAAAGCGAGAAUAAACAGUAUAGGAAAGGCUCUACUAGGUGACAGGAAAAUAGGUUCUUUGAACAAGAAGGAAAGCGAAUAAGGCAAGUAACUUUCCUCUCUCUCUCUCUCAUGCAACUUAUUGAUGACUGAUGAUAAGUUCUGUCAACCUGAACUACCUUUUGAAUUAUGAAAGCCUGAUUUCCUUUCUCAUUGAAUAUGAUGUCUCACUUUUGAAUACAAGCUCUUUCAUGAUGAUCAUGCUCUUGUAUCCGGUAUAUUGCUAUCUUGAAAUAUCUUUCACUUGAUCGAAUGAUGUUUUCUUUUCAUGUACUUGACCCCACAAGAAUAUGACACUUGUUUCGGUAAAUGAAACUAAGAAUGAUUUUAGACUUGCAAGUGAUUGCAAGUGUCCUAAUGAUUUGAAAGGUUGGUAAGUUUAAAAUAAAAGAUGUUUUUUUUAAAAGAAGAAAGUUUUCCAAUUUAAUGGUUUUCCACGGAAUUCUAUUGAUUGGAGGCGUAAGUGGCCGAGUAACGCCGGUCCAACUAUUUGAUUAUGAAGACCAGUGAGGGCUGGCACAUUAUGAAGACUAGUGAGGGCUGGCAUUUGAAAGGCCAAAUGAUAGUUGCCUUUCGGGUACCCUAUUCACGUCCAGAGGGGCUGUAAAGUCCGGUAUGGGGAUUGUACGUGGCUGAUCACCCGUGCAAUCCAAAGCGUUAUACACUCCAAUCGAGUAAAAUGUUUUAUGAAAAUAAAUAUCCAUGUAAUUGGACUAUUUUGAAAAUGAGGUGAUUUUCGAGAUUGAAAAUGAAGCUUAAAUGAAUGGAGCGUUUUGAAAGAAUAUAUUAUGAAAAGGGAAAUUAUAUGAAAGUUAUGAGGAAUGAAUGGUUUUUAUGAACUUAUGGUUUAUAAAUUGGUUUCUUUGGAAUGAUCCUUAAUUUUGGAACCUAUGUUGAAAAUUUUGUAUCUUUGCUUAUAAUCAGAACCUCCUGUCUUAUUCCGUUGAACCGUUGACUUAUUUAUUUACCAUAGUUACUUGCUGAGCUUUUGUAGCUCAUUCUGUUGUUUAUCUAACCCUUUCAGCUAGAUACAAAGAUGGUUCGCCUGUUUGGGCUGCGCUUAAGAAUAACGCUAGGCAAGGAUUCCAAGUGAGUAUGUCAGACCUCGAUGGUCAGGUGAAGUAUUUUGGAAGAUGUCAAGGGAACUAGUUGUGAUUAAGAUAGUAUAAUUUUGAUUCAUAUGUAAAGCGGAUUUAAGUUUUGGUUAUCAGUUAUUCUUCUUGUCGAAGUUUAUCUGGUAAUGUAGAAUAUGUUGUAAUAAGAUUUAUAUUUUCGAUUUUCUGAUUUCAAUACUAUAGCCUGUAUGCGAUCCUGUUUUCAGGGGGUGAAAUUGAAUUCUACUUUAAAUCAUUUUAAAAAUUUCCAGGUUUCGAAAUAAUUGCUUUUAACUUCUUUUAGAAAUACAGGUUUUAAAUUGUUUUUCUUUUAGUGGCUCCAAAUCCAGACCCCCGGAUUUGAGGGAUGUCACA